This 488-nucleotide ribosomal RNA is filed under the name uncultured bacterium. RNAcentral describes it as "partial 16S ribosomal RNA". It matches the Rfam family "Bacterial small subunit ribosomal RNA", at positions 30 to 505 of the family's 1533-position model. The record is from RNAcentral.
AUUGAACGCUGGCGGCAUGCCUUACACAUGCAAGUCGGACGGCAGCAUGAUCUAGCUUGCUAGAUUGAUGGCGAGUGGCGAACGGGUGAGUAAUACAUCGGAACGUGCCCUGUAGUGGGGGAUAACUAGUCGAAAGAUUAGCUAAUACCGCAUACGACCUGAGGGUGAAAGUGGGGGACCGCAAGGCCUCAUGCUAUAGGAGCGGCCGAUGUCUGAUUAGCUAGUUGGUGAGGUAAAGGCUCACCAAGGCGACGAUCAGUAGCUGGUCUGAGAGGACGAUCAGCCACACUGGGACUGAGACACGGCCCAGACUCCUACGGGAGGCAGCAGUGGGGAAUUUUGGACAAUGGGCGAAAGCCUGAUCCAGCAAUGCCGCGUGUGUGAAGAAGGCCUUCGGGUUGUAAAGCACUUUUGUCCGGAAAGAAAUGGCUCUGGUUAAUACCUGGGGUCGAUGACGGUACCGGAAGAAUAAGGACCGGCGAACUACG